This 683-nucleotide ribosomal RNA is filed under the name uncultured bacterium. RNAcentral describes it as "bacterial SSU rRNA". It matches the Rfam family "Bacterial small subunit ribosomal RNA", at positions 9 to 688 of the family's 1533-position model. The record is from RNAcentral.
GAGUUUGAUCCUGGCUCAGGAUGAACGCUGGCGGCGUGCUUAACACAUGCAAGUCGAACGGAGGAUGUACGGUGAAGAGAUUUCGGUCAAAUCAUGUGCAUCUUUAGUGGCGGACGGGUGAGUAACGCGUGGGUAACCUGCCUUACACAGGGGGAUAACACUUAGAAAUAGGUGCUAAUACCGCAUGAGCGCACAGGACCGCAUGGUCGAGUGUGAAAAACUGAGGUGGUGUAAGAUGGACCCGCGUCUGAUUAGCUAGUUGGUGAGGUAACGGCCCACCAAGGCGACGAUCAGUAGCCGGCCUGAGAGGGUGGACGGCCACAUUGGGACUGAGACACGGCCCAAACUCCUACGGGAGGCAGCAGUGGGGGAUAUUGGACAAUGGGGGGAACCCUGAUCCAGCGACGCCGCGUGAGUGAAGAAGUAUCUCGGUAUGUAAAGCUCUAUCAGCAGGGAAGAAGAAAUGACGGUACCUGAGUAAGAAGCCCCGGCUAACUACGUGCCAGCAGCCGCGGUAAUACGUAGGGGGCAAGCGUUAUCCGGAAUUACUGGGUGUAAAGGGAGCGUAGACGGUGAUGUAAGUCUGGAGUGAAAGGCGGGGGCCCAACCCUCGGACUGCUCUGGAAACUAUGUGACUGGAGUGCAGGAGAGGUGAGCGGAAUUCCUAGUGUAGCGGUGAAAUG